UAAUUUAAGGUCUGACCUGCCCACUGAAUAGUUUGAAUGGCCGCAGUAUUUUAACUGUGCAAAGGUAGCAUAAUCAUUAGUCUUUUAAUUGAAGGCUUGUAUGAAUGGUUGGACGAGAUAUUGACUGUCUCAUAUAAAUUGAUUUAGAAUUUUAUUUUUUAGUUAAAAAGCUAAAAUUUUAAUAAAAGACGAGAAGACCCUAUAGAUCUUUAUAGAUUAUAGAUUAUAGUUAUUUAGAUAAUUUAAAUUAUAAUUGAUUAAUUUAUUUUGUUGGGGUGACAUUAAAAUUUAAUAAACUUUUAAUAAUUUGUUACAUUGAUUUAUGAUUAGUUGAUCCAUUAUUAAUGAUUAAAAAAUUAAGUUACCUUAGGGAUAACAGCGUAAUUUUUUUGGAGAGUUCAUAUCGAUAAAAAAGAUUGCGACCUCGAUGUUGGAUUAAGAUAUAAUUUUGGGUGCAGCAAUUCAAUUAUUAAGUCUGUUCGAC
This 484-nucleotide ribosomal RNA is filed under the name Patanothrix wilsoni. Its description in RNAcentral is "partial 16S ribosomal RNA". It matches the Rfam family "Bacterial large subunit ribosomal RNA", at positions 1841 to 2585 of the family's 2925-position model. Lineage: Eukaryota; Metazoa; Arthropoda; Insecta; Diptera; Therevidae. The record is from RNAcentral.